RNAcentral lists this ribosomal RNA (406 nucleotides) under uncultured bacterium. RNAcentral describes it as "partial 16S ribosomal RNA". It matches the Rfam family "Bacterial small subunit ribosomal RNA", at positions 30 to 526 of the family's 1533-position model. The record is from RNAcentral.
AUUGAACGCUGGCGGCAGGCCUAACACAUGCAAGUCGAACGAGUGGCGGACGGGUGAGUAAUGUAUGGGAAACUGCCUGAUGGAGGGGGAUAACUACUGGAAACGGUAGCUAAUACCGCAUACCAUGGGAUGAGCCCAGAUGGGAUUAGCUAGUAGGUGGGGUAACGGCUCACAUCGACGACGAUCCCUAGCUGGUCUGCGAGGAUGACCAGCCACACUGUAACUGAGAUACGGUCCAGACUCGUACGGGAGGCAGCAGUGGGGAAUAUUGCACAAGGGGCGCAAGCCUGAUGCAGCCAUGCCGCGUGUAUGAAGAAGGCCUUCGGGUUGUAAAGUACUUUCAGCGGGGAGGCGUUACCCGCAGAAGAAGCACCGGCUAACGUCGUGCCAGCAGCCGCGGUAAUAC